Molecule: ribosomal RNA, 446 nt
Filed under: Salmonella enterica subsp. enterica
Lineage: Bacteria; Pseudomonadati; Pseudomonadota; Gammaproteobacteria; Enterobacterales; Enterobacteriaceae
Also listed under: 1 other name
Description: bacterial SSU rRNA
Rfam family: Bacterial small subunit ribosomal RNA
Source: RNAcentral
CGCAACCCUUAUCCUUUGUUGCCAGCGAUUAGGUCGGGAACUCAAAGGAGACUGCCAGUGAUAAACUGGAGGAAGGUGGGGAUGACGUCAAGUCAUCAUGGCCCUUACGACCAGGGCUACACACGUGCUACAAUGGCGCAUACAAAGAGAAGCGACCUCGCGAGAGCAAGCGGACCUCAUAAAGUGCGUCGUAGUCCGGAUUGGAGUCUGCAACUCGACUCCAUGAAGUCGGAAUCGCUAGUAAUCGUGGAUCAGAAUGCCACGGUGAAUACGUUCCCGGGCCUUGUACACACCGCCCGUCACACCAUGGGAGUGGGUUGCAAAAGAAGUAGGUAGCUUAACCUUCGGGAGGGCGCUUACCACUUUGUGAUUCAUGACUGGGGUGAAGUCGUAACAAGGUAACCGUAGGGGAACCUGCGGUUGGAUCACCUCCUUACCUUAAAGAA